Molecule: ribosomal RNA, 253 nt
Filed under: uncultured bacterium
Lineage: Bacteria
Description: partial 16S ribosomal RNA
Rfam family: Bacterial small subunit ribosomal RNA
Source: RNAcentral
UACGUAGGGUGCAGGCGUUAAUCGGAUUUACUGGGCGUAAAGGGCGCGUAGGCGGCAACUCAAGUCAUCUGUGAAAUCUCCGGGCUUAACUCGGAACGGUCAGAUGAUACUGUUUUGCUAGAGUGCAGAAGGGGCAAUCGGAAUUCUUGGUGUAGCGGUGAAAUGCGUAGAUAUCAAGAGGAACACCUGAGGUGAAGACGGGUUGCUGGGCUGACACUGACGCUGAGGCGCGAAAGCCAGGGGAGCAAACGGG